Molecule: small nuclear RNA, 22 nt
Filed under: Arabidopsis thaliana (thale cress)
Lineage: Eukaryota; Viridiplantae; Streptophyta; Magnoliopsida; Brassicales; Brassicaceae
Description: snRNA_13427
Source: RNAcentral
GUCUCGAGAUAAGAUUAGUUUG